AUCUCAAAUCAAGGUAGGACUACCCGCUGAACUUAAGCAUAUCAUUUAAGGCGGAGGAA
Molecule: ribosomal RNA, 59 nt
Filed under: uncultured Thelephoraceae
Lineage: Eukaryota; Fungi; Basidiomycota; Agaricomycetes; Thelephorales; Thelephoraceae
Description: partial 28S ribosomal RNA
Source: RNAcentral